This 710-nucleotide ribosomal RNA is filed under the name uncultured bacterium. RNAcentral's name for it is "bacterial SSU rRNA". It matches the Rfam family "Bacterial small subunit ribosomal RNA", at positions 94 to 823 of the family's 1533-position model. The record is from RNAcentral.
AGCGGCGGACGGGUGAGUAACGCGUGGGUAACCUGCCCUGUACACACGGAUAACAUACCGAAAGGUAUGCUAAUACGAGAUAAUAUGCUUUUAUCGCAUGGUAGAAGUAUCGAAGCUUUUGCGGUACAGGAUGGACCCGCGUCUGAUUAGCUAGUUGGUAAGGUAACGGCUUACCAAGGCGACGAUCAGUAGCCGACCUGAGAGGGUGAUCGGCCACAUUGGAACUGAGACACGGUCCAAACUCCUACGGGAGGCAGCAGUGGGGAAUAUUGCACAAUGGGCGAAAGCCUGAUGCAGCAACGCCGCGUGAGCGAUGAAGGCCUUCGGGUCGUAAAGCUCUGUCCUCAAGGAAGAUAAUGACGGUACUUGAGGAGGAAGCCCCGGCUAACUACGUGCCAGCAGCCGCGGUAAUACGUAGGGGGCUAGCGUUAUCCGGAAUUACUGGGCGUAAAGGGUGCGUAGGUGGUUUCUUAAGUCAGAGGUGAAAGGCUACGGCUCAACCGUAGUAAGCCUUUGAAACUGGGAAACUUGAGUGCAGGAGAGGAGAGUGGAAUUCCUAGUGUAGCGGUGAAAUGCGUAGAUAUAUGGAGGAACACCAGUGGCGAAGGCGGCUUCCUGGUCUGUAACUGACACUGAGGCGUGAAAGCGUGGGGAGCAAACAGGAUUAGAUACCCUGGUAGUCCACGCCGUAAACGAUGAGUGCUAAGUGU